UACAGAGGGGGCAAGCGUUGUUCGGAAUUACUGGGCGUAAAGGGCGCGUAGGCGGCCUUCUAAGUCAGACGUGAAAUCCCCGGGCUCAACCCGGGAACUGCGUCUGAUACUGGAAGGCUUGAAUCCGGGAGAGGGAUGUGGAAUUCCGGGUGUAGCGGUGAAAUGCGUAGAUAUCUGGAGGAACACCGGUGGCGAAGGCGGCAUCCUGGACCGGUAUUGACGCUGAGGCGCGAAAGCCAGGGGAGCAAACGGG
RNAcentral lists this ribosomal RNA (253 nucleotides) under uncultured bacterium. RNAcentral's name for it is "partial 16S ribosomal RNA". It matches the Rfam family "Bacterial small subunit ribosomal RNA", at positions 524 to 776 of the family's 1533-position model. The record is from RNAcentral.